This 497-nucleotide ribosomal RNA is filed under the name uncultured bacterium. RNAcentral's name for it is "partial 16S ribosomal RNA". It matches the Rfam family "Bacterial small subunit ribosomal RNA", at positions 28 to 507 of the family's 1533-position model. The record is from RNAcentral.
GAUGAACGCUGGCGGCGUGCCUAAUACAUGCCAGUCGAGCGAACAGACGAGGAGCUUGCUCCUCUGACGUUAGCGGCGGACGGGUGAGUAACACGUGGAUAACCUACCUAUAAGACUGGGAUAACUUCGGGAAACCGGAGCUAAUACCGGAUAAUAUAUUGAACCGCAUGGUUCAAUAGUGAAAGACGGUUUUGCUGUCACUUAUAGAUGGAUCCGCGCCGCAUUAGCUAGUUGGUAAGGUAACGGCUUACCAAGGCAACGAUGCGUAGCCGACCUGAGAGGGUGAUCGGCCACACUGGAACUGAGACACGAUCCAGACUCCUACGGGAGGCAGCAGUAGGGAAUCUUCCGCAAUGGGCGAAAGCCUGACGGAGCAACGCCGCGUGAGUGAUGAAAGUCUUCGGAUCGUAAAACUCUGUUAUUAGGGAAGAACAAAUGUGUAAGUAACUAUGCACGUCUUGACGGUACCUAAUCAGAAAGCCACGGCUAACUACGUG